UUUCCGUAGGUGAACCUGCGGAAGGAUCAUUAAUGAGUUGUCAUGGGGUUCGAUGCUGGCAGCCAGUUUUUGGAUGCAUGUGCUUGCCCUAACAAUCAUCUUCUUCCAAACACCUGUGCACAUUUUUGAGGGCGUCUUGAGUUGGUUGCCGCUCUUGGGUGAUUUUCUCACAUUCCCUUAAAUCAUUAUACGCUAUUAACAAUGUUGAACAUGCUCUGUGGCGCAAGGCCAUUAAUAUAAUACAACUUUUAACAACGGAUCUCUUGGCUCUC
RNAcentral lists this unclassified non-coding RNA (272 nucleotides) under plant metagenome. Its description in RNAcentral is "partial contains small subunit ribosomal RNA, internal transcribed spacer 1, and 5.8S ribosomal RNA". The record is from RNAcentral.